This 88-nucleotide transfer RNA is filed under the name Bacteroidales bacterium. RNAcentral's name for it is "tRNA-Ser". It matches the Rfam family "tRNA". Rfam says of the family: Transfer RNA (tRNA) molecules are approximately 80 nucleotides in length. The record is from RNAcentral. Lineage: Bacteria; Pseudomonadati; Bacteroidota; Bacteroidia; Bacteroidales. RNAcentral also lists the same sequence under 1 other name.
GGAGAGAUGGCCGAGUGGUCGAAGGCGCGCGCCUGGAGAGCGCGUAAGCGCCAAAAGCGCUUCAUGGGUUCGAAUCCCAUUCUCUCCG